AGGACGAACGCUGGCGGCGUGCUUAACACAUGCAAGUCGAGCGGUAAGGCCUUUCGGGGUACACGAGCGGCGAACGGGUGAGUAACACGUGGGUGAUCUGCCCUGCACUUCGGGAUAAGCCUGGGAAACUGGGUCUAAUACCGGAUAUGACCUCAGGUUGCAUGACUUGGGGUGGAAAGAUUUAUCGGUGCAGGAUGGGCCCGCGGCCUAUCAGCUUGUUGGUGGGGUAAUGGCCUACCAAGGCGACGACGGGUAGCCGACCUGAGAGGGUGACCGGCCACACUGGGACUGAGACACGGCCCAGACUCCUACGGGAGGCAGCAGUGGGGAAUAUUGCACAAUGGGCGAAAGCCUGAUGCAGCGACGCCGCGUGAGGAUGACGGCCUCGGGUUGUAAACCUCUUUCUAGCGGGACGAAGCGCAAGUGACGGUACCUGCAGAAGAAGCACGCUAACUACGUGCCAGCAGCCGC
Molecule: ribosomal RNA, 471 nt
Filed under: uncultured soil bacterium
Lineage: Bacteria
Description: bacterial SSU rRNA
Rfam family: Bacterial small subunit ribosomal RNA
Source: RNAcentral